Molecule: unclassified non-coding RNA, 337 nt
Filed under: soil metagenome
Description: partial contains 5.8S ribosomal RNA, internal transcribed spacer 2, and large subunit ribosomal RNA
Rfam family: 5.8S ribosomal RNA (bases 1-120)
Source: RNAcentral
GAUGAAGAACGUAGCGAAAUGCGAUACGUAGUGUGAAUUGCAGAAUUCAGUGAAUCAUCGAAUCUUUGAACGCACAUUGCGCCCUUUGGUAUUCCAAAGGGCAUGCCUGUUCGAGCGUCAUUUGUACCCUCAAGCUUUGCUUGGUGUUGGGCGUCUUGUCUCCAGUCCGCUGGAGACUCGCCUUAAAGUCAUUGGCAGCCGGCCUACUGGUUUCGGAGCGCAGCACAAGUCGCACUCUUUUCCAGCCAAGGUCAGUGUCCAACAAGCCUUUUUUCAACUUUUGACCUCGGAUCAGGUAGGGAUACCCGCUGAACUUAAGCAUAUAAUAAGCGGAGGA